AGACCAGCACCUCAAGUGGUCAGGAUGAUUAUUGGGCCUAAAGCAUCCGUAGCCGGCUCUGUAAGUUUUCGGUUAAAUCUGUACGCUUAACGUACAGGCUGCCGGGAAUACUGCAGAGCUAGGGAGUGGGAGAGGUAGACGGUACUCGGGAGGAAGUGGUAAAAUGCUUUGAUCUCUCGAUGACCACCUGUGGCGAAGGCGGUCUACCAGAACACGUCCGACGGUGAGGGAUGAAAGCUGGGGGAGCAAACCGCAUUAGAAACCCCGGUAGUCC
RNAcentral lists this ribosomal RNA (274 nucleotides) under uncultured bacterium. RNAcentral's name for it is "partial 16S ribosomal RNA". It matches the Rfam family "Archaeal small subunit ribosomal RNA", at positions 473 to 747 of the family's 1478-position model. The record is from RNAcentral.